RNAcentral lists this long non-coding RNA (883 nucleotides) under Heterocephalus glaber (naked mole-rat). Its description in RNAcentral is "lncRNA (ENSHGLG00100043622.1)". Lineage: Eukaryota; Metazoa; Chordata; Mammalia; Rodentia; Bathyergidae. The record is from RNAcentral.
GUGAAUGGACAUCCCGGGUUAUUUCCAGUUUGGGAUCGUUAUAAACAAUGCUUGUUUAUGUGUCUGACUGCCUAUACAUGAGUUAAUAUUUAUCAAGAAGUGGAAUUUCUGGGUCAUAAGAAACAGGUCCCCCUAGGGCCACCUCUUGGGUCCUUCCCCUGCUACUCACAGCUGGAUCUGCCCAGGCCCCCUCAUCAGAAGAACCCAGGAAGCCACCUCCCCAGUGCUCACCUUGUAUCUCAGCUGCUUGAGUCAUGUGGCCUCAGGAGCCUGGGAAUUGAACUCAGGAUCUUGUGCUUGCCAGGGAGGCAGAGCACCACUGCACCACUGAACUACAUCCUUGACCCCAGGCCUAAUAAAAUUUUAAAACAGGAUCUGAAAUAAUCACACUCUUUUCAAGUAACUUAACUGCAUCCUUCAAUAAGACUAUUUAUAUGAAUACAUAUAUUCUUCAUUUAACGACUUACCUGUUUAAUAACUGUUGGACUUACAACCAAGGCAUGCUGUUUGGACUUAUGACCAUUUUAUUGUACAGUUCUGUACAUCUUAUUUACAGAGUCUCCAUGUCUUUUUUUGUAAAGUAUACCUUGUUUAUACAGUACUGCAAUUUUUGCUGAUUGUACCAUACAUUACAGUGCUAUAGUUUUAUGUUCAGUUAUACAUUACAGUAUUGCAUGGAAGAGUGAUGCAAAUAAAAGCAAAGUCAUCAAGUUGGAGUUUCUUUCAACCAUUUCUUUGUUCUGAAUAUUGUAACAUACACACCAUAUACAAUUCCUCAUUUAGCAUCUGAUUCAGGUAAUGACCUAGUUGCAGGACCAUGACUCAGUCAUCAAACAAGGAAUGUCUGUAGCCUGUUGUGUUUUAGGGACAUUCACUAGGCAUG